UGCCUACGGGGGGCUGCAGUGGGGAAUAUUGGACAAUGGGCGAAAGCCUGAUCCAGCCAUGCCGCGUGUGUGAAGAAGGCCUUUUGGUUGUAAAGCACUUUAAGCGAGGAGGAGGCUACCGAGAUUAAUACUCUUGGAUAGUGGACGUUACUCGCAGAAUAAGCACCGGCUAACUCUGUGCCAGCAGCCGCGGUAAUACAGAGGGUGCGAGCGUUAAUCGUAUUUACUGGGCGUAAAGCGUGCAUAGGCGGCUUCUUAAGUCGGAUGUGAAAUCCCUGAGCUUAACUUAGGAAUUGCAUUCGAUACUGGGAAGCUAGAGUAUGGGAGAGGAUGGUAGAAUUCCAGGUGUAGCGGUGAAAUGCGUAGAGAUCUGGAGGAAUACCGAUGGCGAAGGCAGCCAUCUGGCCUAAUACUGACGCUGAGGUACGAAAGCAUGGGGAGCAAACAGGAUUAGAUACCCCAGUAGUCAAU
Molecule: ribosomal RNA, 471 nt
Filed under: uncultured bacterium
Lineage: Bacteria
Description: bacterial SSU rRNA
Rfam family: Bacterial small subunit ribosomal RNA
Source: RNAcentral